UAAAAAUAAAAUUGUACCCAUAAGAAUUCUACUAACAAAAAAUUUAAAUAAAUUAAAGUGACAUUACCCCGCUAACCUUGACUUGGUAGCACUUAUUAAAUUAGUGUAUGUGUGCAGUUUUCGUAUUUUGAAAUUCAUUCAAUAAUUUUCGCUUGAUUCCUUCAUUCGGUUAAAUUUAAUAAUUUUCUUAAUAAAAUGUGGAUCUUAACAAAUAACACAGGUAAUGUCCUUAUUGUAAUUAGCGAAAAAUCCAAAUACACUGUGGGACGAGUCGGAGCAGAUUUGGUUAUAACAGACGACUCUUCAAUAAGUCGCACACACGCUUUCUUGCAUAUUACUACAAAGCAGACUACAGGUGAUACAACAAAAGAAAUACUUGAGCUUGAGGACGCCUGCUCUAAGUACGGUACAUUCCAUAAUGGGAGUAUCGAGAAAGGUGCCAGUUUACCCAAACAUAAACGAAUAGUUUUGGCGGACGGUGAUCGUAUACGUUUCGGUGUUUUAAAAAGCUUAUGGACUGUAUCAAAUAAAACUCCAAUUGUUGCCAUAUCCGCUUUACCUGAUGAAAUGACCAAUCAAUUAAAACAAUUGUUACCCAUACUUGGUGGUUGCAUUCUACCUAAUUUCGAAGAAUCAUACAACCACCUAACAUUGAAAGAGAUAAAUGUGACAUCAAAACUAUUGCAUGCCCUCCUUGAUCAAAAGCCUAUUGUUACUUGCGACUACUGGUGUAAUCUAGUACAGGCUGCUCGGCGUGGACGUCGUUUGUUACCACAAAUUGCCUCUUAUAUGCCACCAAAUCCUCAUAAUUUCGAUAUAGAAUAUCGUGAAGCGAGGAAAACUGUUUUCAAAAAUUUAACAUUUGUGUUUUUACAUGCUCGUCAUUUUAAUACGUACGCAUGCAUAGUAGAAAAAGCUGGAGGAACGAGUAAACAUUUAAAUGUGGGACUACAAAAAUCUUUUCUCAUUAGAAAAGAUGUAGUUGUUGUUCAUUACGUACCCUCCAUGGAAUCGCAAAGCUCACAAACAAUUAGUACUAUCGAAGAUUAUCUUAAACUUCAUUCACGACGUACUGUGCCUGAAUACGAGAUCGCUAUGGCAAUAAUAAGCUGUUCGACAACAAGGCACUGUAACCCAAGCUACAAGGUAGAUGACGAAACAUCCCAAGCCACCAAAUCAAAUGACACUGAUGUGUUGCAAAGUACUAUACAAAGGUUUUCUAGUCAUACUAAUUUGUCUGAUACAUUAGGGGACGAAGAAACAGAAGUCUUUAUACCGGAAACGGACCGUAAAAGCACUGCCAGCACACAUUUGACAGACAAAUCGUCCGUAGGUUUAUCUACACCACGGGUCGACCAAAUCAAUUCCAUACACUCUCAAAUUUUUGAAACAAGGGUAAGUAAUUCAAAUGAGGAGGUGAUGUCUUCACAUCAAAUCACUGAAAGUGAACAAGAAGUUAAUAAGCGCAAACGAACGAGGGGAAAACGACAAAGCCCUUCAACUGUAGUUAAUACUGACAUGGAUAGCGAUGAAGAUGAGCUGUUCAAUUUUGCCACUAAAAAGGCACAUGUCGAAGAAAGGAAAGCAUCACCAAUCGUACGGGCAACUAGACAGCAAAGGAAAUCAAAUUGUUCACCCCUUGAUGAAAAUGCGUCAACAUCUGCUGCUGCUACUUCGAAGCAAACUCCUAAAUCUUGCGGUAAGGAGUUGCCAAUAGCUAUCAACAAAAAGACAACGAGGAAAACUGUGAUAAAUAUGUCUGGCUUCCUAGAAAAGACUCAUGCUCCUAUCCAAAAUAUGCAAAAGCCAAAUGCCGAUGUACAAAAUAUUUCAAUUCAAGAUUCCCUCUUGCAAAAGGGCGUCAAGCGUGCCAGAGUGGCUAUUAUAGACAACAGUGAUGAUGAUGAUUUGUUUUGCUUUGGUGGAAAAAGCCAUACGAAUGAGGAUUCGAGUUCAGCUAAGCGAGCACGUCCUGGAGCUGAUAGUUGCGAUUCGGAUGAAUCGGAUCUUUUCAACUUUGGGUGUGGUGAUGAUGAUGAGCAAAAUGAUCUCAAUGAUGAAAUUGAUGGUGAUUCCUGCAAAGAGCCAAUGAUACAAAAAGAAAAGUUUCACCAAAUAGUUAUGCCAAAGCCAAAACCAUUACCAGCAAAAAUUUGUGUUGCAGAUUGGCUCGACUGUUCAUUAAGUGCUUUGAGCAUUAAAUCAGAACAAGUAAAAGACGCAUUAGAUACUGAGAAAAAAGAAAAUAAUGACUCAGGUGUAGAGGGUGAUGGUAAAGAUGAACCAAUAAAAGGUGGAUGUGUCAUUACGGUACUAAGCACAAAAACAUUAAUGCAGGAAAGAGAUGUGAGAAAAGGAAGCAUGAUGCAGAACAACCAAGGCAAAGAGUAUAACUCAACUACCAAAAACUUUAAAAAAUUUACAAAGCUCGAUCGCUAAUGCUGGUGAUAACAUCGGUCAAUAUUGCUUGCCACCAUGCCUUUUGAUUUUAUAUACCAUUUUUUCGUUCACUUUUGUUGCCGUCUCUGCUGCUGCUGCUGUUGAUAGAGUUUCGGUGGGGCUUUUUGAACAUGGCAAAAGUUUUUACGUUUUAUUUGCUUGUUUGUCGUAAGUGAAAGUUGUUCGAAGCGACUGAAGUAUUAGCUGAAUGUAAGCUGCCAUUGUUCUACAGAGGCAUCAGUCGUUUAAUAUAAACAAAUUAGUUGGCCGUACAUACAAAUGUAUAUGCACAAUGAAGGUAUAUAUUAACGCAGUAUAAGCAAUGGACGGUGUAUGCGUUGUGUCAAGCUCGUACUUAGUUCCGGACAUCAGAAAUAUCAAAACAAUAGAGACUUCACAUAGGGCCGUUUACCCAAUAUAUAUAUGUAUAUGUAUAUAUACUAAUUAAAAGUUAGUGUUUUCUUUCGAAUUAUUACUUUAUUUUAUUUUCCAGAGACACACAAUAGUUUUAUUAAUUCCAUCAAUAUAUAAUGAAAUUAGAUUUAAUUAAUCGUUCUAUAAUAUUAUAGUAAUCAUAAGAUUUACUUAUGGAUGUGUACAUGCAUCUCCAAGAAUGUAGCUGGUUUGAAUAUGACUACAGAUGGUUCGUACUUAAACUAACGCAUAGAAAAAAUUGUUUAAUGCACUACAAAUUUUACACAAGCUUGGGAAAGCAAUCACUCGUGUUCUUUCAGAUUAGCAUCUUUAUACAUUAUAUUUUUGGUAUUGAUACAACUACAAAACGUUAUAAAUAAGUUUGCAAAUACUUUAUUAGUUUUGUAUGUAUAUUCGUAUGAAUGUAAGUUCUAUAAAUUUGUAUUGUUUUUAAAUCGUAGUUAAUUUUUGGUUAAAUGGCUAACAUUUGGUGUACAGCAACUUCUGGUAGAUAAACUUUAAUGCCUAUAUACUAUAAAAACUGUUCCAACAUAUUUUCGUGUUUAAUACAAUUACGUACUUACACACAUGUAUCUAGUUAUUCAUGAAUCAUUUACCAUAUUGGCUUUUCCUUUCAUACCCAAAAUUCAGUUUUAUUUUUUGAUUUUUUGAUAUAAGUAGAAAAGCUCUUUUUUAAUAGAAAUUUUUUUUUAAAUAUUUUUCUUCAUUUAUAACCAAAAACAAAUUUAUUUUUAAAUUGACAUCAAAACUUUUAGUUUCAAAUUAAUGCACAAGGAAACAUUUACAUCAAAACAAAAUUUAUAAAGAAAAUAAAAAAUCCAAACAAUGCAUCUUCUUCUAUUAUUGUUCUUGGUGUAACUUGAAGAAGAUAUGUUGUACACAACACGAUUGGUUAUUGAACUCGCACAAAUAUGGGCCAAAGAAUUAAGAAAUUAAUACAAUUAGUCGUUCACAUUAGAAGUGCAGCGAUGCCAAUGAAGAUGUAUGCUAAAACUUGGAACUAGUUGGUGCUGUCUGCCUGAACUGGUGUUUGUACAAGCACAAGCAAGUCUUAUUCUAGAUUAUUAAUGAAAUUUUUUAUAGACGAUAAUUAUGACAACAUUUAACAUCAAA
RNA transcript from Ceratitis capitata (Mediterranean fruit fly), 3987 nucleotides. It is a transcript of the gene named nibrin, with no coding region annotated. The record is from RefSeq and is a predicted model, not a curated record. The transcript has 7 exons. NCBI's taxonomy places the organism in Eukaryota, Metazoa, Arthropoda, Insecta, Diptera, Tephritidae.